GCUUAGUCGCAGUAGAAGACUGCAUUUCAUUUGUCUCAAGUACACAAUUAUUACAUUUGUCUCAGGUUAUCAUGUGCUUCUUUUGCAGUGAUUAUAACAGUUGAAAAUAUUCCUUUUGAAUAUGUGUUCUAAAGUGGCAAUGCAAUAUUAAAAACAUGCCAAAGAUAGAUAGAUAGAUAGAUAGAUAGAUAGAUAGAUAGACAGAUAGAUAGAUUGAUAGAUUCUAAAAUAUACUGCCUAUAUCAUGUACAAGUUCCAAGGGGGUUUAAAAAAAAAUAAAAAAACAGUCCCACACCACACAGCAGCU
Molecule: non-coding RNA, 307 nt
Organism: Pelobates cultripes (western spadefoot toad)
Lineage: Eukaryota; Metazoa; Chordata; Amphibia; Anura; Pelobatidae
Source: the annotation of a GenBank genome assembly